GGGAAUUUUCCGCAAUGGGCGAAAGCCUGACGGAGCAAUCUCGCGUGAGGGAUGACGGCCUAUGGGUUGUAAACCUCUUUUUUCAGGGAGGAAUAAAUGACGUGUACCUGAAGAAUAAGCAUCGGCUAACUCCGUGCCAGCAGCCGCGGUAAGACGGAGGAUGCAAGUGUUAUCCGGAAUCACUGGGCGUAAAGCGUCUGUAGGUGGUCUAGCAAGUCAACUGUUAAAUCUUGAAGCUCAACUUCAAAAUCGCAGUCGAAACUAUUAGACUAGAGUAUAGUAGGGGUAAAGGGAAUUUCCAGUGGAGCGGUGAAAUGCGUAGAGAUUGGAAAGAACACCGAUGGCGAAGGCACUUUACUGGGCUAUUACUGACACUCAGAGACGAAAGCUAGGGUAGCAAAUGGGAUUAGAUACCCCAGUAGUCA
RNAcentral lists this ribosomal RNA (425 nucleotides) under uncultured cyanobacterium. RNAcentral's name for it is "bacterial SSU rRNA". It matches the Rfam family "Bacterial small subunit ribosomal RNA", at positions 357 to 796 of the family's 1533-position model. The record is from RNAcentral. Lineage: Bacteria; Bacillati; Cyanobacteriota.